GUCCAGGGGCGGGAAUCGAACCCACACCCUUCUGCUUACAGGGCAGGUGCCUUGUCCACUCGGAUACCCUGGA
RNAcentral lists this transfer RNA (73 nucleotides) under Cordylochernes scorpioides. Its description in RNAcentral is "tRNA-Thr". The record is from RNAcentral. Lineage: Eukaryota; Metazoa; Arthropoda; Arachnida; Pseudoscorpiones; Chernetidae.